Molecule: small nuclear RNA, 135 nt
Organism: Sciurus carolinensis (gray squirrel)
Lineage: Eukaryota; Metazoa; Chordata; Mammalia; Rodentia; Sciuridae
Product: U4 spliceosomal RNA
Exons: 1
Source: RefSeq, a predicted model, not a curated record
AGCUUUGUGCAGUGGCAGUAUCGUAGCCAAUGAGGUUUAUCCGAGGCGCGAUUAUUGCUAAUUGAAACAGAGUGGGAGAAUAUCUUUGCCACUCAUACUUCAGAUAGAGCGCUGAUUUCCAGAAUCUAAAAAAAA